UAGAUGAUGUCGAGUGGCGGACGGGUGAGUAAUGCUUGGGAACUUGCCUUUGCGAGGGGGAUAACAGUUGGAAACGACUGCUAAUACCGCAUAAUGUCUUCGGACCAAACGGGGCUUCGGCUCCGGCGCAAAGAGAGGCCCAAGUGAGAUUAGCUAGUUGGUGAGGUAAAGGCUCACCAAGGCAACGAUCUCUAGCUGUUCUGAGAGGAAGAUCAGCCACACUGGGACUGAGACACGGCCCAGACUCCUACGGGAGGCAGCAGUGGGGAAUAUUGCACAAUGGGGGAAACCCUGAUGCAGCCAUGCCGCGUGUGUGAAGAAGGCCUUCGGGUUGUAAAGCACUUUCAGUUGUGAGGAAAAGUUAGUAGUUAAUACCUGCUAGCCGUGACGUUAACAACAGAAGAAGCACCGGCUAACUCCGUGCCAGCAGCCGCGGUAAUACGGAGGGUGCGAGCGUUAAUCGGAAUUACUGGGCGUAAAGCGCACGCAGGCGGUUUGUUAAGCUAGAUGUGAAAGCCCCGGGCUCAACCUGGGACGGUCAUUUAGAACUGGCAGACUAGAGUCUUGGAGAGGGGAGUGGAAUUCCAGGUGUAGCGGUGAAAUGCGUAGAUAUCUGGAGGAACAUCAGUGGCGAAGGCGACUCCCUGGCCAAAGACUGACGCUCAUGUGCGAAAGUGUGGGUAGCGAACAGGAUUAGAUACCCUGGUAGUCCACACCGUAAACGCUGUCUACUAGCUGUUUGUGACUUUAAGUCGUGAGUAGC
This 763-nucleotide ribosomal RNA is filed under the name Alteromonas stellipolaris. RNAcentral describes it as "bacterial SSU rRNA". It matches the Rfam family "Bacterial small subunit ribosomal RNA", at positions 81 to 847 of the family's 1533-position model. The record is from RNAcentral. Lineage: Bacteria; Pseudomonadati; Pseudomonadota; Gammaproteobacteria; Alteromonadales; Alteromonadaceae.